RNAcentral lists this ribosomal RNA (301 nucleotides) under uncultured bacterium. RNAcentral's name for it is "bacterial SSU rRNA". It matches the Rfam family "Bacterial small subunit ribosomal RNA", at positions 337 to 636 of the family's 1533-position model. The record is from RNAcentral.
CCCUACGGGAGGCAGCAGUGAGGAAUAUUGGUCAAUGGUCGGGAGACUGAACCAGCCAAGCCGCGUGAGGGAUGAAGGUACAGAGUAUCGUAAACCUCUUUUGUCAGGGAACAAAGGCGGGGACGUGUCCCCGGAUGAGUGUACCUGAAGAAAAAGCAUCGGCUAACUCCGUGCCAGCAGCCGCGGUAAUACGGAGGAUGCGAGCGUUAUCCGGAUUUAUUGGGUUUAAAGGGGGCGCAGGAGGUCGGUUAAGUCAGCGGUCAAAGCCCGGGGGUCAAACACGGCCCGCCGUUGAAACUAG